AUCCUGCAGGGACCACCAGUGGCGAAGGCGUCUANUCAUAACGGCUCUGACGGUGAGGAACGAAACCCUGGGGCGCAAACGGGAUUAGAUACCCCCGGUAGUCCAGGGCGUAAACGCUGCUGACUUGGUGUUGGAGAUCCUACGAGGGUGACCAGUGCUGGCGCGAAGGUAUUAAGUCAGCCGCCUGGGGAGUACGGUCGCAAUACUGAAACUUAAAGGAAUUGGCGGGGGAGCACUGCAACGUGUGGAGCGUGCGGUUUAAUUGGAUUCAACGCCGGAAAACUCACCGGGGGCGACGGUUACGUGAAGGCCAAGCUGAUGACUUUGCCUGAUUUUCCGAGAGGUGGUGCAUGGCCGCCGUCAGUUCGUACCGUAAGGCGUUCUGUUAAGUCAGAUAACGAACGAGACCUCCGUCACCAUUUGCUAUCUUCUUCUCCGGAAGGGGAGCACUAUGGUGGUACCGCCGCUGUUAAAGCGGAGGAAGGAGGGGGCAACGGUAGGUCAGUAUGCCCCGAAUCUCCCGGGCUACACGCGCGCUACAAAGGGCAGGACAAUGGGCUUCGACACCGAAAGGUGAAGGCAAUCCUGAAACCUGCUCGUAAUUCGGAUUGAGGGCUGCAAUUCGCCCUCAUGAAGCUGGAAUACGUAGUAAUCGCGGGUCAACAUCCCGCGGUGAAUAUGCCCCUGCUCCUUGCACACACCGCCCGU
Molecule: ribosomal RNA, 708 nt
Filed under: uncultured marine bacterium
Lineage: Bacteria
Description: bacterial SSU rRNA
Rfam family: Archaeal small subunit ribosomal RNA
Source: RNAcentral